UACGUAGGGCGCAAGCGUUAUCCGGAAUCACUGGGCGUAAAGCGUCUGUAGGUGGUCAAAUAAGUCAACUGUUAAAUCUUGAGGCUCAACCUCAAAAACCGCAGUCGAAACUAUUAGACUAGAGUAUAGUAGGGGUAAAGGGAAUUUCCAGUGGAGCGGUGAAAUGCGUAGAGAUUGGAAAGAACACCGAUGGCGAAGGCACUUUACUGGGCUAUGACUAACACUCAGAGACGAAAGCUAGGGUAGCAAAUGGG
Molecule: ribosomal RNA, 254 nt
Filed under: uncultured bacterium
Lineage: Bacteria
Description: partial 16S ribosomal RNA
Rfam family: Bacterial small subunit ribosomal RNA
Source: RNAcentral